UGGGGAGCUCAUAUGAUUCACCUAAUAUAGGAUUAAGGUAUUUAUUGGGUGAAAGUUUGGAAAGCUGGAGAGGCCUUUUUUGAAAGUAUACGACCUCCACAUAUGGGAUUGUGGCUUAGCAUUGCUGCUGAAAAGAGAUAAUUCGUCCAGGCCACUAUCGGAUGCUCACCGUGUGAAGAUUUAUAUUCACUUUUUCUCAACAUCUGAUCAAGGCUUUUUGUUUACUUCUUAUUGCGUGUCAUUGUAUUUUGACAAGAGACACCGAGAAUGAAUAUGACCCAAUUUCCGUCCAGAUACAUGAAUCUAGCCUACUAUAACUCAUAUGUGUAUAAGGAAAUGUAGUCAAAAUAUAUUUGAUUUUCGAUGA
This is a long non-coding RNA of Daucus carota subsp. sativus, 367 nucleotides long. RefSeq lists it as uncharacterized. The record is from RefSeq and is a predicted model, not a curated record. The transcript has 2 exons. NCBI's taxonomy places the organism in Eukaryota, Viridiplantae, Streptophyta, Magnoliopsida, Apiales, Apiaceae.